RNAcentral lists this ribosomal RNA (253 nucleotides) under uncultured bacterium. RNAcentral's name for it is "partial 16S ribosomal RNA". It matches the Rfam family "Bacterial small subunit ribosomal RNA", at positions 524 to 776 of the family's 1533-position model. The record is from RNAcentral.
UACGAAGGGGGCUAGCGUUGUUCGGAUUUACUGGGCGUAAAGCGCACGUAGGCGGAUUCUUAAGUCAGGGGUGAAAUCCCGAGGCUCAACCUCGGAACCGCCUUUGAUACUGGGGAUCUUGAGUUCGGGAGAGGUGAGUGGAAUUGCGAGUGUAGAGGUGAAAUUCGUAGAUAUUCGCAAGAACACCAGUGGCGAAGGCGGCUCACUGGCCCGAUACUGACGCUGAGGUGCGAAAGCGUGGGGAGCAAACAGG